CAAUAUUGAUAUUUUCUAGGGAGAGAUUUACAUGUAUUCUCCAGACAACAGUCUUAUCUAUUUGUCAAAUUCAAAAAGUUUGUGCAUCUGCAAGAUCAUAUGAAAGUGAAAUUGCGAAAAAGUUAUAGUAGUAGUCUCAUUGUUUCACGCAUGAUUGCUACUCCGUUGUUUCAAGCUGUACGCUUCCUUAUGUGCACUUUGAUUUGCAGGGGAACUGAUGUGAGCAUAGAAAACAUGCAUCAAGGGUUCACGCAUGUCUUUGAGUCCACAUUCGAAAGCACAGAAGGAAUCAAGGAGUACAUUGAGCACCCUGCACAUGUUGAAUUCGCAAAUGAGUUCUUGCCUGUAUUGGAGAAGGCCCUCAUAAUUGAUUACAAACCGACUUCUGUCAAUUAAUGGUGGACUAUGGAGAACCUGGGGGAGCUUUUCUCAAUUCUCAUCAUCAAUAUCCUUGUACUGUUUCUCAGAGAAUUCCAUUUGAUUCUACAAUAUACACUUUGUGUUGAAUAAGUCGGUUCUGCUUGGUUUCCUUGUUGAGAAUAAAUUGAGUUUCCUGUAACUGCAGUUGUAAUAACUUUGAACUUUUUUUUGUUCGUAUCAGAAUUACGUUUCCAAAGACUCCUAUACUGUCUGCUAUCUGUGCAUAUAAGCUCCAGUAGAAGCUGCGAGUGCGUAUUUUUCCUUUUAACCUUUUGAGCAUCAUGAUUGUGAUCAAUUGCGGUCUAAAAUUUAUGAUCCUAUUAUAUAUCUAUGUGCAUUACCUAUUACUUGUCUAGUUGUCUAAUAAAGCGUCUAACAUGGUAUUCCCAGAUGCAUUUUCCGUUCGCUGCUUGGAAGCUGCUGGACGAGAAAUUAACAUGUUUAUGUGACCAUGUCCUUCAGGAAAACACAAACUCAACGAUCUCUGUUUUCUGCAGAUUUACUGUACUGCUGAAACCAAUCGCUCUUAUCCUACUUUAGCAUGUUUUACGUGGUCUGUGGACUGUGGUAAUACCAACCGUGCCAUGCGUAUGAAUUUGGGCUUGACACUUGACAUGAACCAUAUAUUUUGUUCUUUUCGACAGCUUAAAACACUUACACGUUUAAACACCGAAAGCUGAACUUCUAAUGUUUGCUUGUUUGAGCUGCAACUUUUGGACUUUUCUGUAAAGCCGGUGCUACUUUUUUUUUAUGAAAGGCCAACCAUAACUUUUAGAAUAUGCGUUUAGGUUUUUGUACCAAAAAGCUACGAAAAGCUCAGAAAAUUGAGCUUUUCAGCUUUCAAUAUAAACUCAGGUUUUCUAAACUUCUAACUUUUUGAAAGCUGCAUGAGAAGUUUCUUGUUUGUUUGAGUUUCUAGCUUUUGACACUGAGAAGUUGUCAGGAAGCACAAACAAAUAAGGUCUAAAAAUCAUAAUACACUGCUUCAGAUGUGAGCUACCAAGAAUCUCUGCAUUAUGAAACCUGGUGACGACAAUAGCAUAUUGUUGAAUUAGUACGAGUGAGCACUUCCACAGUUCGUUCUAAAGAAAAGCACUUCCACAGUUCCAAGCAUGUCCUGAGCUGACGAAUUCACCUACCUCGGCAUGGAAUGGCCCGUAGACUUUCACUCGAGUAAUAAUUUUUUUUAAAAGGGGAGAGCUUAUACUAAAUUAACAAAACAUGUUUACAAUCAAAAUCUAAAACUGCCGACGCGCAGGCCAAGACACCUUAAGAAACAAAAUCAGAUGAGAGCUCUCUCCUACCAAGCUGUCCUAGUUCAUGAGCCACUCCAUUUGCACUUCGAUCGCACUUUAAAACUUUGAAACACUGGAACAUUCUCAGCAUUUUUUUACUUCUUCAAUGAUGAUGGAGCUAGGGGAUCGAUUUAGAGUACCGUCAUUGAACGCUUGUACUGUGAGGCAGUCCAGCUCCAGCCAAAUAGGUCCCAUGAAAACAGAGCAGGCUCUGUUGAUGCCUAUCAAGGCUGCAAGACAUUCAACUUCUUCAGCCGAAGAGCAUAAGCGAUCGCCGCACCAACCUGAAAAGGCAACUUCACCCAAGUGAUUCCUAGCAAUAAAACCUAGACCAGGAUGUUGUGUGUUAGGAUCAAAGCCAGCAUGUCGUGUGCAGGAAUCCGCCGCCAGGCGGUGGUGCCCAUGCCAUGAGCAGGCCAGCAACUUCGAAGGAAACAUGCUGCAAAGCCAAAGGAAUAUGUAUCUCGGCAUAUGUGGCAGUCGGCCCGCGAAACAUUGCGAACCAUGAAAACCGUUCAACCCGGCGGUUCCGAACCGCCUAGCUGGCUCCCUCAUGGUUUGGUUGGGUUUUAACCAAUAACCGGUGAAACCGGACCAUGUACAGGGCUUACCUUUGGGUUUCUCGCGGCCGGCGUUAGGUAGGCGGCCGUCCUACUCGCCACUGAAUAUGAUUGUCUAGAAACUAUUUUAUUAAAAGAAAAAUAUAUGAGAUGCAAUAAUUACUUAAGUAGAAGCAAGUACUACCCAUAUUUGAUGUUGGGUAGUUCAAAAAUAAACUAAGCAAUGUGUGCGUUCGGAGUCAAACGACCUGUUCAGCUGGACUUAUAAGCCGGCUGAAAAGCUGAAACGGCUGAUUUGUUGUGAGAGAAAAACACUGUUCGGUGGCUGAUAAGCCGGCUGAUAGGUUGAAGCGAACAGGCUUAAAGAAUUUUAUCAAACGUCUUCACCUUGGUAUUACUAAAAUCCUCCCCCCAUCUUUAAAUAUAAGAUGUUAGUAAUUGUCCUUAACAUCAUAUAACGGAGGGAGGAGGGAGGUAGUCUGUGCGAUGGACCACCCGAUCCGACCCGCACAAGUUCAGGCUGGAACCGGAUCCGGCCAGUUCGCUGCAGGUCAACUCACGAUGAUCCUAGAAUCGUCCACCUCGUGAUCGGCGAAUCCGCUGUCUACGCGCUAAACUGCCCGGGAGUAACGAUCCGGUCACCAAAUCAUCUCAGCUCGAGCAAUUCGCUCUCACCACGUAUAAAGCAGUGGCCAAGAAGCCAAGCCAAGCAGCAGCAGAGCAUCCUACCUACCACGACCAAACAGAGGAGGUGAGGGGCCUCGAGCGAAGAAGCCCGGAGGCAUGGCGGCUGGUGGCGGCGGCGGCGUGGUGAAGCACAUCCUGCUGGCGCGCUUCAAGGAGGACGUGACGCCGGAGCGAUUGGACCAGCUCAUCCGGGGCUACGACAGGCUCGUGGGCGUUGUCCCCCCCAUGAAGGCCUUCCACUGGUAAAGCGCGCUGCACCCACCUACCCACCUCCAGGACGACUUGAGAUCUCAACACGAUUCCAUUGCUGGCUGUUCACUGUUGUGUAUGCGGUAUGCCUCUGCUUCCUGUGGGCGAUUAGUAUCUACCUGUUUGGGCGCCGUCCCUGUGAGACUCCGUGAGGACUACGCACCCAAGGUGCUCGAGGAAUUGGCUGACUGCCUGGCUUAGUUUAUCUUGACUGAAACAUGAUUUGGCAUUUUGUGUUUCCCCGUGCACGAUCAGUGACUGCGAUCGAUGGCCCUGUGAUUUCUCCUAGUUCCCUGGUCCAGAUAUCCAUAGCUGAUUUAACUAAAUAAUAGCCAAACCAGCAUGUACUACUAGGUGCCUACCACCUCUAUUUCUUAUCCCAGAGCAUAUUACAACGAACAAUAUUGAUAUUUUCUAGGGAGAGAUUUACAUGUAUUCUCCAGACAACAGUCUUAUCUAUUUGUCAAAUUCAAAAAGUUUGUGCAUCUGCAAGAUCAUAUGAAAGUGAAAUUGCGAAAAAGUUAUAGUAGUAGUCUCAUUGUUUCACGCAUGAUUGCUACUCCGUUGUUUCAAGCUGUACGCUUCCUUAUGUGCACUUUGAUUUGCAGGGGAACUGAUGUGAGCAUAGAAAACAUGCAUCAAGGGUUCACGCAUGUCUUUGAGUCCACAUUCGAAAGCACAGAAGGAAUCAAGGAGUACAUUGAGCACCCUGCACAUGUUGAAUUCGCAAAUGAGUUCUUGCCUGUAUUGGAGAAGGCCCUCAUAAUUGAUUACAAACCGACUUCUGUCAAUUAAUGGUGGACUAUGGAGAACCUGGGGGAGCUUUUCUCAAUUCUCAUCAUCAAUAUCCUUGUACUGUUUCUCAGAGAAUUCCAUUUGAUUCUACAAUAUACACUUUGUGUUGAAUAAGUCGGUUCUGCUUGGUUUCCUUGUUGAGAAUAAAUUGAGUUUCCUGUAACUGCAGUUGUAAUAACUUUGAACUUUUUUUUGUUCGUAUCAGAAUUACGUUUCCAAAGACUCCUAUACUGUCUGCUAUCUGUGCAUAUAAGCUCCAGUAGAAGCUGCGAGUGCGUAUUUUUCCUUUUAACCUUUUGAGCAUCAUGAUUGUGAUCAAUUGCGGUCUAAAAUUUAUGAUCCUAUUAUAUAUCUAUGUGCAUUACCUAUUACUUGUCUAGUUGUCUAAUAAAGCGUCUAACAUGGUAUUCCCAGAUGCAUUUUCCGUUCGCUGCUUGGAAGCUGCUGGACGAGAAAUUAACAUGUUUAUGUGACCAUGUCCUUCAGGAAAACACAAACUCAACGAUCUCUGUUUUCUGCAGAUUUACUGUACUGCUGAAACCAAUCGCUCUUAUCCUACUUUAGCAUGUUUUACGUGGUCUGUGGACUGUGGUAAUACCAACCGUGCCAUGCGUAUGAAUUUGGGCUUGACACUUGACAUGAACCAUAUAUUUUGUUCUUUUCGACAGCUUAAAACACUUACACGUUUAAACACCGAAAGCUGAACUUCUAAUGUUUGCUUGUUUGAGCUGCAACUUUUGGACUUUUCUGUAAAGCCGGUGCUACUUUUUUUUUAUGAAAGGCCAACCAUAACUUUUAGAAUAUGCGUUUAGGUUUUUGUACCAAAAAGCUACGAAAAGCUCAGAAAAUUGAGCUUUUCAGCUUUCAAUAUAAACUCAGGUUUUCUAAACUUCUAACUUUUUGAAAGCUGCAUGAGAAGUUUCUUGUUUGUUUGAGUUUCUAGCUUUUGACACUGAGAAGUUGUCAGGAAGCACAAACAAAUAAGGUCUAAAAAUCAUAAUACACUGCUUCAGAUGUGAGCUACCAAGAAUCUCUGCAUUAUGAAACCUGGUGACGACAAUAGCAUAUUGUUGAAUUAGUACGAGUGAGCACUUCCACAGUUCGUUCUAAAGAAAAGCACUUCCACAGUUCCAAGCAUGUCCUGAGCUGACGAAUUCACCUACCUCGGCAUGGAAUGGCCCGUAGACUUUCACUCGAGUAAUAAUUUUUUUUAAAAGGGGAGAGCUUAUACUAAAUUAACAAAACAUGUUUACAAUCAAAAUCUAAAACUGCCGACGCGCAGGCCAAGACACCUUAAGAAACAAAAUCAGAUGAGAGCUCUCUCCUACCAAGCUGUCCUAGUUCAUGAGCCACUCCAUUUGCACUUCGAUCGCACUUUAAAACUUUGAAACACUGGAACAUUCUCAGCAUUUUUUUACUUCUUCAAUGAUGAUGGAGCUAGGGGAUCGAUUUAGAGUACCGUCAUUGAACGCUUGUACUGUGAGGCAGUCCAGCUCCAGCCAAAUAGGUCCCAUGAAAACAGAGCAGGCUCUGUUGAUGCCUAUCAAGGCUGCAAGACAUUCAACUUCUUCAGCCGAAGAGCAUAAGCGAUCGCCGCACCAACCUGAAAAGGCAACUUCACCCAAGUGAUUCCUAGCAAUAAAACCUAGACCAGGAUGUUGUGUGUUAGGAUCAAAGCCAGCAUGUCGUGUGCAGGAAUCCGCCGCCAGGCGGUGGUGCCCAUGCCAUGAGCAGGCCAGCAACUUCGAAGGAAACAUGCUGCAAAGCCAAAGGAAUAUGUAUCUCGGCAUAUGUGGCAGUCGGCCCGCGAAACAUUGCGAACCAUGAAAACCGUUCAACCCGGCGGUUCCGAACCGCCUAGCUGGCUCCCUCAUGGUUUGGUUGGGUUUUAACCAAUAACCGGUGAAACCGGACCAUGUACAGGGCUUACCUUUGGGUUUCUCGCGGCCGGCGUUAGGUAGGCGGCCGUCCUACUCGCCACUGAAUAUGAUUGUCUAGAAACUAUUUUAUUAAAAGAAAAAUAUAUGAGAUGCAAUAAUUACUUAAGUAGAAGCAAGUACUACCCAUAUUUGAUGUUGGGUAGUUCAAAAAUAAACUAAGCAAUGUGUGCGUUCGGAGUCAAACGACCUGUUCAGCUGGACUUAUAAGCCGGCUGAAAAGCUGAAACGGCUGAUUUGUUGUGAGAGAAAAACACUGUUCGGUGGCUGAUAAGCCGGCUGAUAGGUUGAAGCGAACAGGCUUAAAGAAUUUUAUCAAACGUCUUCACCUUGGUAUUACUAAAAUCCUCCCCCCAUCUUUAAAUAUAAGAUGUUAGUAAUUGUCCUUAACAUCAUAUAACGGAGGGAGGAGGGAGGUAGUCUGUGCGAUGGACCACCCGAUCCGACCCGCACAAGUUCAGGCUGGAACCGGAUCCGGCCAGUUCGCUGCAGGUCAACUCACGAUGAUCCUAGAAUCGUCCACCUCGUGAUCGGCGAAUCCGCUGUCUACGCGCUAAACUGCCCGGGAGUAACGAUCCGGUCACCAAAUCAUCUCAGCUCGAGCAAUUCGCUCUCACCACGUAUAAAGCAGUGGCCAAGAAGCCAAGCCAAGCAGCAGCAGAGCAUCCUACCUACCACGACCAAACAGAGGAGGUGAGGGGCCUCGAGCGAAGAAGCCCGGAGGCAUGGCGGCUGGUGGCGGCGGCGGCGUGGUGAAGCACAUCCUGCUGGCGCGCUUCAAGGAGGACGUGACGCCGGAGCGAUUGGACCAGCUCAUCCGGGGCUACGACAGGCUCGUGGGCGUUGUCCCCCCCAUGAAGGCCUUCCACUGGUAAAGCGCGCUGCACCCACCUACCCACCUCCAGGACGACUUGAGAUCUCAACACGAUUCCAUUGCUGGCUGUUCACUGUUGUGUAUGCGGUAUGCCUCUGCUUCCUGUGGGCGAUUAGUAUCUACCUGUUUGGGCGCCGUCCCUGUGAGACUCCGUGAGGACUACGCACCCAAGGUGCUCGAGGAAUUGGCUGACUGCCUGGCUUAGUUUAUCUUGACUGAAACAUGAUUUGGCAUUUUGUGUUUCCCCGUGCACGAUCAGUGACUGCGAUCGAUGGCCCUGUGAUUUCUCCUAGUUCCCUGGUCCAGAUAUCCAUAGCUGAUUUAACUAAAUAAUAGCCAAACCAGCAUGUACUACUAGGUGCCUACCACCUCUAUUUCUUAUCCCAGAGCAUAUUACAACGAACAAUAUUGAUAUUUUCUAGGGAGAGAUUUACAUGUAUUCUCCAGACAACAGUCUUAUCUAUUUGUCAAAUUCAAAAAGUUUGUGCAUCUGCAAGAUCAUAUGAAAGUGAAAUUGCGAAAAAGUUAUAGUAGUAGUCUCAUUGUUUCACGCAUGAUUGCUACUCCGUUGUUUCAAGCUGUACGCUUCCUUAUGUGCACUUUGAUUUGCAGGGGAACUGAUGUGAGCAUAGAAAACAUGCAUCAAGGGUUCACGCAUGUCUUUGAGUCCACAUUCGAAAGCACAGAAGGAAUCAAGGAGUACAUUGAGCACCCUGCACAUGUUGAAUUCGCAAAUGAGUUCUUGCCUGUAUUGGAGAAGGCCCUCAUAAUUGAUUACAAACCGACUUCUGUCAAUUAAUGGUGGACUAUGGAGAACCUGGGGGAGCUUUUCUCAAUUCUCAUCAUCAAUAUCCUUGUACUGUUUCUCAGAGAAUUCCAUUUGAUUCUACAAUAUACACUUUGUGUUGAAUAAGUCGGUUCUGCUUGGUUUCCUUGUUGAGAAUAAAUUGAGUUUCCUGUAACUGCAGUUGUAAUAACUUUGAACUUUUUUUUGUUCGUAUCAGAAUUACGUUUCCAAAGACUCC
This 7842-nucleotide long non-coding RNA is filed under the name Setaria viridis. RNAcentral describes it as "long non-coding RNA (SVIR_LNC005665)". The record is from RNAcentral. Lineage: Eukaryota; Viridiplantae; Streptophyta; Magnoliopsida; Poales; Poaceae.